Molecule: ribosomal RNA, 593 nt
Filed under: Fictibacillus barbaricus
Lineage: Bacteria; Bacillati; Bacillota; Bacilli; Caryophanales; Fictibacillaceae
Description: bacterial SSU rRNA
Rfam family: Bacterial small subunit ribosomal RNA
Source: RNAcentral
GCGUAAGCGCGCGCAGGCGGUUCCUUAAGUCUGAUGUGAAAGCCCACGGCUCAUCCGUGGAGGGUCAUUGGAAACUGGGGAACUUGAGUGCAGGAGAGAAAAGUGGAAUUCCACGUGUAGCGGUGAAAUGCGUAGAGAUGUGGAGGAACACCAGUGGCGAAGGCGGCUUUCUGGCCUGUAACUGACGCUGAGGCGCGAAAGCGUGGGGAGCAAACAGGAUUAGAUACCCUGGUAGUCCACGCCGUAAACGAUGAGUGCUAGGUGUUGGGGGGUUCCACCCUCUGAGCGGACCUUAACACGUUUUACACUCCGCCUGGGGAGUACAGCCGCGAGGCUGAGACUCUCAGGAGUUGACGGGGGCCCGCACAAGCACUGGAGCAUGUGGGUUAAUUCUCAGCAACGCGAAUAAACUUACCCGGUCUUGACAUCCUCUGAGAGCGUGGGAGAUCUAGCUUUCCCCUUCGGGGGACAGAGUGACAGGUGGUGCAUGGUUGUCGUCAGCUCGUGUCGUGAGAUGUUGGGUUAAGUCCCGCAACGAGCGCAACCCUUGACCUUAGUUGCCACCAAUUCAGUUGGGCACUCUAAGGUGACUG